GGGGGCGCGUGGCUUCGACAGGGGCAGGCCUACAGGAUUGCAGGUCGAGGAAGCUAUCUACCUCGUUAAAUACGGUAGCAAAACACAACUGCAGAAGAAGCAGUUCCAGUCGCAGCCUAAAAGGUAGCGCAUCCAACCUUACCUCAUCCCGAUGGGUUUGGAUUGGGUGACGAAAAGUCGGGAUGCUCCGGUGCUGUGCCGAUAAGUACCGGCUAAGAUUAAUCGGAUGGCCCUGUUAAACUCUGUCAGCAGAGGCUAACGGGGCGAGAUUAAAGUACUGACUAAACCUGUAGCACAUUCUGGCAACCUGUUUUUGGACGGGGAGUUCAACCCUCCCCCGCCUCCACCA
Molecule: transfer-messenger RNA, 349 nt
Filed under: Chloroflexi bacterium RBG_16_48_7
Lineage: Bacteria; Bacillati; Chloroflexota
Rfam family: transfer-messenger RNA
About the family: Bacterial tmRNA, also known as 10Sa RNA or SsrA, is named for its dual tRNA and mRNA-like properties.
Source: RNAcentral